This 585-nucleotide ribosomal RNA is filed under the name Klebsiella aerogenes. Its description in RNAcentral is "bacterial SSU rRNA". It matches the Rfam family "Bacterial small subunit ribosomal RNA", at positions 1 to 577 of the family's 1533-position model. The record is from RNAcentral. Lineage: Bacteria; Pseudomonadati; Pseudomonadota; Gammaproteobacteria; Enterobacterales; Enterobacteriaceae.
AAAUUGAAGAGUUUGAUCAUGGCUCAGAUUGAACGCUGGCGGCAGGCCUAACACAUGCAAGUCGAGCGGUAACACAGAGAGCUUGCUCUCGGGUGACGAGCGGCGGACGGGUGAGUAAUGUCUGGGAAACUGCCUGAUGGAGGGGGAUAACUACUGGAAACGGUAGCUAAUACCGCAUAACGUCGCAAGACCAAAGUGGGGGACCUUCGGGCCUCAUGCCAUCAGAUGUGCCCAGAUGGGAUUAGCUAGUAGGUGGGGUAAUGGCUCACCUAGGCGACGAUCCCUAGCUGGUCUGAGAGGAUGACCAGCCACACUGGAACUGAGACACGGUCCAGACUCCUACGGGAGGCAGCAGUGGGGAAUAUUGCACAAUGGGCGCAAGCCUGAUGCAGCCAUGCCGCGUGUAUGAAGAAGGCCUUCGGGUUGUAAAGUACUUUCAGCGAGGAGGAAGGCGUUAAGGUUAAUAACCUUGGCGAUUGACGUUACUCGCAGAAGAAGCACCGGCUAACUCCGUGCCAGCAGCCGCGGUAAUACGGAGGGUGCAAGCGUUAAUCGGAAUUACUGGGCGUAAAGCGCACGCAGGCG